Molecule: ribosomal RNA, 301 nt
Filed under: uncultured bacterium
Lineage: Bacteria
Description: partial 16S ribosomal RNA
Rfam family: Bacterial small subunit ribosomal RNA
Source: RNAcentral
CAGUCGCCGCGGUAAUACGAGGGGGGCGAGCGUUGUUCGGAAUUAUUGGGCGUAAAGGGCGCGUAGGCGGUUUGACAAGUCUCAUGUGAAAUCUUCGGGCUCAACUCAAAGUCUGCAUGGGAAACUGUCGGGCUUGAGUAUGGGAGAGGUGAGUGGAAUUUCCGGUGUAGCGGUGAAAUGCGUAGAUAUCGGAAGGAACACCUGUGGCGAAAGCGGCUCACUGGACCAUAACUGACGCUGAGGCGCGAAAGCUAGGGGAGCAAACAGGAUUAGAUACCCGCGUAGUCCCUGUCUCUUAUAC